This 494-nucleotide ribosomal RNA is filed under the name uncultured bacterium. RNAcentral describes it as "bacterial SSU rRNA". It matches the Rfam family "Bacterial small subunit ribosomal RNA", at positions 903 to 1397 of the family's 1533-position model. The record is from RNAcentral.
AAAUGAAUUGACGGGGGCCCGCACAAGCGGAGGAACAUGUGGUUUAAUUCGAUGAUACGCGAGGAACCUUACCCGGGCUUGAAUUGCAGAGGAAAGAUCCAGAGAUGGUGAUGCCCUUCGGGGCCUCUGUGAAGGUGCUGCAUGGUUGUCGUCAGCUCGUGCCGUGAGGUGUCGGCUUAAGUGCCAUAACGAGCGCAACCCCUCUCUUCAGUUGCCAUCAGGUCAUGCUGGGCACUCUGGAGACACUGCCACCGUAAGGUGUGAGGAAGGUGGGGAUGACGUCAAAUCAGCACGGCCCUUACGUCCGGGGCUACACACGUGUUACAAUGGCCGGUACAGAGGGACGGUGGCCCGCAAGGUCCAUCCAAUCUUGAAAGCCGGUCCCAGUUCGGACUGGGGUCUGCAACCCGACCCCACGAAGCUGGAUUCGCUAGUAAUCGCGCAUCAGCCAUGGCGCGGUGAAUACGUUCCCGGGCCUUGUACACACCGCCCGU